Long non-coding RNA from Octopus bimaculoides (California two-spot octopus), 775 nucleotides. The record is from RefSeq and is a predicted model, not a curated record. NCBI's taxonomy places the organism in Eukaryota, Metazoa, Mollusca, Cephalopoda, Octopoda, Octopodidae.
GACUGUUUUAUCACUCCUUGUUUUGUGCUUUCGGCGACAAGAUAGGAAAACUUCAUAAGACAGCAACAUCCAGAAAUUUUAAAAUUAUAAAAUUUGUGGAGAGUUAAGACUUCGAACAAACAACAGCAGAGUGGGCGUACGGAGUGAACAAUCGAUGAAGACAAACAUUAAGGGCUGCUAGGCCAAGACGAAUUGUAAUGGGUAAGACGUGGGGGAAAUUUUGAAAGGAUAUAGAAUAAAUAGAAGAGAAGAAAAUAAUAGAAGAGAAAAAAUGUCGAAAGGACGUCCAGCUAGAUGGACGUCUCUUUCAGAAAAAUCAGAGGCGAGAGAAAUGACCUGUAGUGACGUGUGAGCAACAGGCAGAGGAGAAGGGGGGACAAAAGAGAGGAUGAGGGAACGAAGAGAAAGGAGAAGGAACGAAAGAUAGUAGGGAGUGAAAGAAAGACAGGUAGGGGACAGCAAGGAAGGAGGGAGAGAAAAAGGAAAUAUAGUGGAUUAUAGAGAGAGAAAAAAACAGUAUGUGGAGUCGCAGAAAUUAUAUAUAUAUGUAAGAACUUACUGUGGACAAGGCUAGAUGUUUGUUCAGCUGGGCAGCAAUUCAUAACAUCAAAGAAUGUCUUAUUCACUGUUUCCUAUAAUGGAGGUGAUGACUUCACAUCCAAGUAUGCAACUAGCCAAGGAGACAUAAUGCGGGUCAAGCAAAGAAUAACAACAAAAGCAAAGAAAUAUAAUGAAGCUGAAAGUAAUACCUGGACAUAAGGUUCACACUCCAUGG